GGGAGGUUCAAGGGAGUUUGAUGGAGAUCAAGAGGUAAGGGUCGGAAAGGAACUUAUGAUCUGAUCCUUGAACUAGAGGAUGUGGUAUACUAGGAAUCCUCAGACGCAAGCGCUGAAGGGUUCCUAAGUUUUACACAUACACCCUCGGGUUGAAGAAAACAAAAGAUCAUAGCCGAGCCCUCGGGCGAGGCGGAUAAGGGUCGGCGGAACAGAUAGGGUCGGGCGAGACGGAACCGGGGUCUGGCGGAUAAGAGGGGUCGGGCGAGGCGGACUGGGGUCGGCAGCUUACCUUCUUCCCAAAAGGAAAGCUUGGGGUUGGGAAGAAGCAGACUUGGGCAGAGGGAUUAAGGCUUUGAACAACAGCUAAG
RNAcentral lists this long non-coding RNA (368 nucleotides) under Setaria viridis. Its description in RNAcentral is "long non-coding RNA (SVIR_LNC005543)". The record is from RNAcentral. Lineage: Eukaryota; Viridiplantae; Streptophyta; Magnoliopsida; Poales; Poaceae.